Molecule: ribosomal RNA, 1019 nt
Filed under: Beauveria sp.
Lineage: Eukaryota; Fungi; Ascomycota; Sordariomycetes; Hypocreales; Cordycipitaceae
Description: SSU rRNA
Rfam family: Eukaryotic small subunit ribosomal RNA
Source: RNAcentral
AGAUUAAGCCAUGCAUGUCUAAGUAUAAGCAAUUAUACAGCGAAACUGCGAAUGGCUCAUUAUAUAAGUUAUCGUUUAUUUGAUAGUACCUUACUACUUGGAUAACCGUGGUAAUUCUAGAGCUAAUACAUGCUGAAAAUCCCGACUUCGGAAGGGAUGUAUUUAUUAGAUUAAAAACCAAUGCCCUCUGGGCUCCUUGGUGAUUCAUAAUAACUUUUCGAAUCGCACGGCCUUGCGCCGGCGAUGGUUCAUUCAAAUUUCUUCCCUAUCAACUUUCGAUGUUUGGGUAUUGGCCAAACAUGGUCGCAACGGGUAACGGAGGGUUAGGGCUCGACCCCGGAGAAGGAGCCUGAGAAACGGCUACUACAUCCAAGGAAGGCAGCAGGCGCGCAAAUUACCCAAUCCCGAUUCGGGGAGGUAGUGACAAUAAAUACUGAUACAGGGCUCUUUUGGGUCUUGUAAUUGGAAUGAGUACAAUUUAAAUCUCUUAACGAGGAACAAUUGGAGGGCAAGUCUGGUGCCAGCAGCCGCGGUAAUUCCAGCUCCAAUAGCGUAUAUUAAAGUUGUUGUGGUUAAAAAGCUCGUAGUUGAACCUUGGGCCUGGCUGGCCGGUCCGCCUCACCGCGUGUACUGGUCCGGCCGGGCCUUUCCCUCUGUGGAACCUCAUGCCCUUCACUGGGUGUGGCGGGGAAACAGGACUUUUACUUUGAAAAAAUUAGAGUGCUCCAGGCAGGCCUAUGCUCGAAUACAUUAGCAUGGAAUAAUAAAAUAGGACGUGUGGUUCUAUUUUGUUGGUUUCUAGGACCGCCGUAAUGAUUAAUAGGGACAGUCGGGGGCAUCAGUAUUCAAUUGUCAGAGGUGAAAUUCUUGGAUUUAUUGAAGACUAACUACUGCGAAAGCAUUUGCCAAGGAUGUUUUCAUUUAUCAGGAACGAAAGUUAGGGGAUCGAAGACGAUCAGAUACCGUCGUAGUCUUAACCAUAAACUAUGCCGACUAGGGAUCGGACGAUGUUAUUUUUU